AUGAAGGUGAGUUUGACUACGAACUCGAGGAUGCUGGGAACGAUCUCUUUUCGGGGAAUCACUCCCGUCGAGAGGCCCUCUUCCUCCCUUUUUCUGAAUCUGGGAGAGAGGCAAAAGAGAAGUCCAGAGAGACCUCGACUCUUUCAGGGAAAGGAGGGAGAUCGAAUGCGAGAUGGAGUCCCUGCCGAAUGGAAUGGACAUCCUUGGGGACAGCUGUGUAAGACUUAA
RNAcentral lists this ribosomal RNA (228 nucleotides) under Triticum aestivum (bread wheat). Its description in RNAcentral is "partial small subunit ribosomal RNA". The record is from RNAcentral. Lineage: Eukaryota; Viridiplantae; Streptophyta; Magnoliopsida; Poales; Poaceae.